This 492-nucleotide ribosomal RNA is filed under the name uncultured bacterium. RNAcentral describes it as "partial 16S ribosomal RNA". It matches the Rfam family "Bacterial small subunit ribosomal RNA", at positions 28 to 507 of the family's 1533-position model. The record is from RNAcentral.
GAUGAACGCUAGCUACAGGCUUAACACAUGCAAGUCGAGGGGAAACGACAUCGAAAGCUUGCUUUUGAUGGGCGUCGACCGGCGCACGGGUGAGUAACGCGUAUCCAACCUGCCCAUCACUUGGGGAUAACCUUGCGAAAGUAAGACUAAUACCCAAUGAUAUCUCUAGAAGACAUCUGAAAGAGAUUAAAGAUUUAUCGGUGAUGGAUGGGGAUGCGUCUGAUUAGCCUGUUGGCGGGGUAACGGCCCACCAAGGCAACGAUCAGUAGGGGUUCUGAGAGGAAGGUCCCCCACAUUGGAACUGAGACACGGUCCAAACUCCUACGGGAGGCAGCAGUGAGGAAUAUUGGUCAAUGGGCGAGAGCCUGAACCAGCCAAGUAGCGUGCAGGAAGACGGCCCUAUGGGUUGUAAACUGCUUUUAUAAGGGAAUAAAGUGAGAGUCGUGACUCUUUUUGUAUGUACCUUAUGAAUAAGGACCGGCUAAUUCCGUG